RNAcentral lists this ribosomal RNA (1422 nucleotides) under metagenome. Its description in RNAcentral is "bacterial SSU rRNA". It matches the Rfam family "Bacterial small subunit ribosomal RNA". The record is from RNAcentral.
GGUGCGUAACACGUGGGUAAUCUGCCGCGAAGUCCGGGAUAACUUGCUGAAAGGCGAGCUAAUACCAGAUGUGACUGUCGGGAGGCGUCUCCUGGCAUUCAAAGUUGGGGACCGUAAGGCCUGACACUUCACGAUGAGCCCGCGGCCUAUCAGCUAGUUGGUGAGGUAACGGCCCACCAAGGCUAAGACGGGUAGCUGGUCUGAGAGGACGACCAGCCACACUGGAACUGAGACACGGUCCAGACACCUACGGGUGGCAGCAGUCGAGAAUUUUUCUCAAUGGGCGAAAGCCUGAAGGAGCGACGCCGCGUGGGGGAUGAAGGGCUUCGGCCUGUAAACCCCUGUCAUUUGCGAUCAAGGCGACCGACCUAAUACGUCGGGCGUUGAUAGUAGCGAAAGAGGAAGGGACGUCUAACUCUGUGCCAGCAGCCGCGGUAAUACAGAGGUCCCAAGCGUUGUUCGGAUUUACUGGGCGUAAAGGGUGCGUAGGUGGCAAGGUAAGUUCGGUGUGAAAUCUCCAGGCUUAACCCGGAAACUGCACUGGAUACUAUCUAGCUCGAGGAUCAUAGGGGAGACUGGAAUUCUCGGUGUAGCAGUGAAAUGCGUAGAUAUCGAGAGGAACACCAGUGGCGAAAGCGAGUCUCUGGACGAUCCCUGACACUGAGGCACGAAAGCUAGGGGAGCAAACAGGAUUAGAUACCCUGGUAGUCCUAGCCCUAAACGGUGCAUGUUUGCUGUGGGAGGAAUCGACCCCUUCCGUGGCGAAGCUAACGCGUUAAACAUGCCGCCUGGGGAGUACGGCCGCAAGGUUAAAACUCAAAGAAAUUGACGGGGGCCUGCACAAGCGGUGGAGUAUGUGGCUUAAUUCGAUCAACGCGAAGAACCUUACCUGGCCUUGACAUGUAGGUGGUAGAAGCCUGAAAGGGCAACGACCCCGCAAGGGGAGCUUACACAGGUGCUGCAUGGCUGUCGUCAGCUCGUGUCGUGAGAUGUUGGGUUAAGUCCCGCAACGAGUGCAACCCUCGUGUCCUGUUGCGACCCGGAUGAGAAUUCGGAGCACUCUGGACAGACUGCCACAUUUUCAUGUGGAGGAAGGUGGGGAUGACGUCAAGUCAGGAUGGCCCUUACGGCCAGGGCUGCACACGUACUACAAUGCCCGGUACAAAGAGAAGCAAGACCGCAAGGUGGAGCUAAUCUCGCGAAACCGGGCCCAGUUCAGAUUGUCGGCUGCAACUCGCCGACAUGAAGCUGGAAUCGCUAGUAAUGGCGCAUCAGCUACGGCGCCGUGAAUACGUUCCCAGGCCUUGUACACACCGUCCGUCACAUCAUGAAAGCCGGUUGUACCCGAAGUCAGCGCGUUAACCGCAAGGAGACAGCUGCCGAAGGUAUGGCUGGUGAUUGGGAUGAAGUCGGAACAAGGUA